Molecule: long non-coding RNA, 567 nt
Organism: Alligator sinensis (Chinese alligator)
Lineage: Eukaryota; Metazoa; Chordata; Crocodylia; Alligatoridae
Exons: 4
Source: RefSeq, a predicted model, not a curated record
AAAUUAGAGCACCUCCGAAGUUACCCUAGCUUAUGGUAGAGACCAGCUUACUUCAUGGAAACUUCACUUUUGCUGUAAGGUCUGCUUUCCAUCCUAGUCCACUUCUACUGAACACAGCCAGGAAGCUGAACAAAGAAUGAAUAACCUAGAACAACUUUGCAUCUGAAAUGGAAGAGAAGAGAAAUCUGGUCCAGCUCCCAUUCAAGUUGCACAUGGAGACUCCUGUUGACAUCAGUGGAAUUUCUAGCAGGUUCCUAUGAAGAGGAGCUUCUCUCCACAUGCAUGCUCCCAGUGUACUUCCCAGGAGAGCAGGCAUGGAAGAGGAACCUACCUGCCCAUCUGCUGCUGCCACCAUUGACACGACUGCUGCUGUCUGGGCUAACUGCUGAUUAAAAGGACAUGAAAAUAGAAACAGAGACAAGGUUUUGGGAAUGCUCAGGCUAACUUCUGGAGCAAGACUGCUCAGAUCUGGGUGGUCAGAUCUCAUUUACCUAAAUCAGAAUCAUAUUUUGUGCAUUAGUUCAAUAGAUUUUAUUUGGGCCUGUCUCAGCUUUUUGGUUUGGUUUG